CAUAGGUUAAUGAGGCGAACCGGGGGAACUGAAACAUCUAAGUACCCCGAGGAAAAGAAAUCAACCGAGAUUCCCCCAGUAGCGGCGAGCGAACGGGGAGCAGCCCAGAGCCUGAAUCAGUGUGUGUGUUAGUGGAAGCGUCUGGAAAGGCGCGCGAUACAGGGUGACAGCCCCGUACACAAAAAUGCACAUGCUGUGAGCUCGAUGAGUAGGGCGGGACACGUGGUAUCCUGUCUGAAUAUGGGGGGACCAUCCUCCAAGGCUAAAUACUCCUGACUGACCGAUAGUGAACCAGUACCGUGAGGGAAAGGCGAAAAGAACCCCGGCGAGGGGAGUGAAAAAGAACCUGAAACCGUGUACGUACAAGCAGUGGGAGCACGCUUAGGCGUGUGACUGCGUACCUUUUGUAUAAUGGGUCAGCGACUUAUAUUCUGUAGCAAGGUUAACCGAAUAGGGGAGCCGAAGGGAAACCGAGUCUUAACUGGGCGUUAAGUUGCAGGGUAUAGACCCGAAACCCGGUGAUCUAGCCAUGGGCAGGUUGAAGGUUGGGUAACACUAACUGGAGGACCGAACCGACUAAUGUUGAAAAAUUAGCGGAUGACUUGUGGCUGGGGGUGAAAGGCCAAUCAAACCGGGAGAUAGCUGGUUCUCCCCGAAAGCUAUUUAGGUAGCGCCUCGUGAAUUCAUCUCCGGGGGUAG
This 699-nucleotide ribosomal RNA is filed under the name Escherichia coli. RNAcentral's name for it is "partial 23S ribosomal RNA". It matches the Rfam family "Bacterial large subunit ribosomal RNA", at positions 165 to 905 of the family's 2925-position model. Lineage: Bacteria; Pseudomonadati; Pseudomonadota; Gammaproteobacteria; Enterobacterales; Enterobacteriaceae. The record is from RNAcentral.